AUUGAACGCUGGCGGCAUGCCUUACACAUGCAAGUCGAACGGCAGCGGGGACUUCGGUCCGCCGGCGAGUGGCGAACGGGUGAGUAAUGUAUCGGAACGUACCAUUCAGUGGGGGAUAACUAUCCGAAAGGAUAGCUAAUACCGCAUAUUCUGUGAGCAGGAAAGCAGGGGAUCGCAAGACCUUGCGCUGAUUGAGCGGCCGAUAUCAGAUUAGCUAGUUGGUGAGGUAAAGGCUCACCAAGGCGACGAUCUGUAGCGGGUCUGAGAGGAUGAUCCGCCACACUGGAACUGAGACACGGUCCAGACUCCUACGGGAGGCAGCAGUGGGGAAUUUUGGACAAUGGGGGCAACCCUGAUCCAGCCAUGCCGCGUGAGUGAAGAAGGCCUUCGGGUUGUAAAGCUCUUUCGGCCGGGAAAAAAUCGCAUGGGUUAAUACCCUGUGUGGAUGAUGGUACCGGAAUAAGAAGCACCGGCUAACUACGUGCCAGCCGCCGCAGUAA
This 500-nucleotide ribosomal RNA is filed under the name uncultured bacterium. RNAcentral describes it as "partial 16S ribosomal RNA". It matches the Rfam family "Bacterial small subunit ribosomal RNA", at positions 30 to 523 of the family's 1533-position model. The record is from RNAcentral.